This 450-nucleotide long non-coding RNA is filed under the name Heterocephalus glaber (naked mole-rat). RNAcentral describes it as "lncRNA (ENSHGLG00000028207.2)". Lineage: Eukaryota; Metazoa; Chordata; Mammalia; Rodentia; Bathyergidae. The record is from RNAcentral.
UUUCAAUUGGUCUUUACUGUUUAUUCAUGUCUGGUUUGUCUUUGUAUUGUUAUCAUUACUUAAGUUUCUUUUUCCCUCUCUGAUAAAAGGAUUAAGCCCUCAGAAGGAGGUUACACACUAAGAAGAACUUCACAUAAAGUGGAAGAUAUAUCCAACCAAACAGAUGAACAAAUCUCAAGAUAGGAACACAGUAUGCAAAAGCAUGAUCAAGUUUGGUGAGACAUGGACAUUUAACAUCAGUUAGAAUGCCAACGUGGCACCUGCUUCUCAUCGGACAGGACGGGCACUGACUGUGCACUGGAAAUUGAGGGUUUUUAUGGGAACAUCUUCAACUUGAAGAGAGAUAAACAACUGCGGUCACUCAAUUCUUAACGUAGUCACUGGAAUAAAAAUGAGAUUGUCCCUUCUUUCUCUGCUUCCUGGCCACCAUGAUGCAUGCACCUUUACUCC